Molecule: ribosomal RNA, 482 nt
Filed under: uncultured bacterium
Lineage: Bacteria
Description: bacterial SSU rRNA
Rfam family: Bacterial small subunit ribosomal RNA
Source: RNAcentral
GGUCAGGACGAACGCUGGCGGCGUGCCUAACACAUGCAAGUCGAACGGAGUCAGAAAGCUUGCGUUUUGACUUAGUGGCGGACGGGUGAGUAACGCGUGAGUAACCUGCCUCUGAGAGGGGAAUAACGUUCUGAAAAGAACGCUAAUACCGCAUAACGUAUCGAAGCCGCAUGACUUUGAUACCAAAGAUUUUAUCGCUCGGAGAUGGACUCGCGUCCGAUUAGUUAGUUGGUGAGGUAACGGCUCACCAAGACCGCGAUCGGUAGCCGGACUGAGAGGUUGAUCGGCCACAUUGGGACUGAGACACGGCCCAGACUCCUACGGGAGGCAGCAGUGGGGGAUAUUGCGCAAUGGGGGCAACCCUUGACGCAGCAACGCCGCGUGAAGGAUGAAGGUUUUCGGAUUGUAAACUUCUUUUAUCAGGGACGAAGCUUGACGGUACCUGAUGAAUAAGCUCCGGCUAACUACGUGCCAGCCGCUGC